UCAUCAUACCUAGAAGAUUUCUCUCCCUAAACCAACAAAGGGAGAUUGAUGAUGUGAUAAACCUAUGACUUAUAUCUUAAGACUAUACUUAAGAGUGGUCACUUGAAAAUUUUAGGAACUUUGUGCCUACAAGAACUUGAGCUAAACAUAACCACUCAUGACCAAACUAAUAAAUGAACCUUCUGUCAAAUGAAUUCCGGAUGGUUGUUAACAAUAGCCAUGGAUUCCAUAACUCACCAUGUACAUUCUAAAGGACCUUAGGAGAAAAUUAAUCAAGUAUUGAAGUAUAUUCAGAAUCAUUCAGU
Molecule: long non-coding RNA, 305 nt
Filed under: Carica papaya (papaya)
Lineage: Eukaryota; Viridiplantae; Streptophyta; Magnoliopsida; Brassicales; Caricaceae
Description: long non-coding RNA (CPAP_LNC002252)
Source: RNAcentral